GUCGAACGGUAACAGGAAGAAGCUUGCUUCUUUGCUGACGAGUGGCGGACGGGUGAGUAAUGUCUGGGAAACUGCCUGAUGGAGGGGGAUAACUACUGGAAACGGUAGCUAAUACCGCAUAACGUCGCAAGACCAAAGAGGGGGACCUUCGGGCCUCUUGCCAUCGGAUGUGCCCAGAUGGGAUUAGCUAGUAGGUGGGGUAACGGCUCACCUAGGCGACGAUCCCUAGCUGGUCUGAGAGGAUGACCAGCCACACUGGAACUGAGACACGGUCCAGACUCCUACGGGAGGCAGCAGUGGGGAAUAUUGCACAAUGGGCGCAAGCCUGAUGCAGCCAUGCCGCGUGUAUGAAGAAGGCCUUCGGGUUGUAAAGUACUUUCAGCGGGGAGGAAGGGAGUAAAGUUAAUACCUUUGCUCAUUGACGUUACCCGCAGAAGAAGCACCGGCUAACUCCGUGCCAGCAGCCGCGGUAAUACGGAGGGUGCAAGCGUUAAUCGGAAUUACUGGGCGUAAAGCGCACGCAGGCGGUUUGUUAAGUCAGAUGUGAAAUCCCCGGGCUCAACCUGGGAACUGCAUCUGAUACUGGCAAGCUUGAGUCUCGUAGAGGGGGGUAGAAUUCCAGGUGUAGCGGUGAAAUGCGUAGAGAUCUGGAGGAAUACCGGUGGCGAAGGCGGCCCCCUGGACGAAGACUGACGCUCAGGUGCGAAAGCGUGGGGAGC
This 719-nucleotide ribosomal RNA is filed under the name uncultured Pseudomonadota bacterium. RNAcentral's name for it is "bacterial SSU rRNA". It matches the Rfam family "Bacterial small subunit ribosomal RNA", at positions 61 to 769 of the family's 1533-position model. Lineage: Bacteria; Pseudomonadati; Pseudomonadota. The record is from RNAcentral.